This 247-nucleotide ribosomal RNA is filed under the name uncultured bacterium. RNAcentral describes it as "partial 16S ribosomal RNA". It matches the Rfam family "Bacterial small subunit ribosomal RNA", at positions 86 to 334 of the family's 1533-position model. The record is from RNAcentral.
AGAUGGCGACCGGCGCACGGGUGAGUAACACGUAUCCAACCUGCCGAUAACUCGGGGAUAGCCUUUCGAAAGAAAGGUUAAUACCCGAUGGCAUAAUUAGACCGCAUGGUCUUAUUAUCAAAGAAUUUCGGUUAUCGAUGGGGAUGCGUUCCAUUAGGCAGUUGGUGAGGUAACGGCUCACCAAACCUUCGAUGGAUAGGGGUUCUGAGAGGAAGGUCCCCCACAUUGGAACUGAGACACGGUCCAA